UACGUAGGGUGAGAGCGUUGUCCGGAAUUAUUGGGCGUAAAGAGCUUGUAGGCGGUUUGUCGCGUCUGCUGUGAAAAUCCGGGGCUCAACCCCGGACUUGCAGUGGGUACGGGCAGACUAGAGUGUGGUAGGGGAGACUGGAAUUCCUGGUGUAGCGGUGAAAUGCGCAGAUAUCAGGAGGAACACCGAUGGCGAAGGCAGGUCUCUGGGCCACUACUGACGCUGAGAAGCGAAAGCAUGGGGAGCGAACAGG
This 253-nucleotide ribosomal RNA is filed under the name uncultured bacterium. RNAcentral's name for it is "partial 16S ribosomal RNA". It matches the Rfam family "Bacterial small subunit ribosomal RNA", at positions 524 to 776 of the family's 1533-position model. The record is from RNAcentral.